Molecule: ribosomal RNA, 119 nt
Filed under: Pteropus alecto (black flying fox)
Lineage: Eukaryota; Metazoa; Chordata; Mammalia; Chiroptera; Pteropodidae
Source: RNAcentral
GUCUACGGCCAUGCCACCCUGAACAAGCCCAAUCCCAUCUGAUCUCGAAAGCUAAGCAGGGUUGGGCCUGGUUCGUACUUAGAUGGGAGACCACCUAGGAAGACCAGAUGCUGUAGAUG